CAGUCACACUGGAACUGAGACACGGUCCAGACUCCUAGGGGAGGAGCAGUGGGGAAAAUUGGACAAUGGGCGAAAGUCUGAUCCAGCCAUGCGGGGUGUGGGAAGAAGGUCUUCGGAUUGUAAAGCACUUUAAGUUGGGAGGAGGGGCAGUAAGUAAAUACCUUGCUGUUUUGACGUUACCAACAGAAUAAGCACCGGCUAAUUUCGGGCCAGCAGCCGCGGUAAUACAAAGGGGUGCA
Molecule: ribosomal RNA, 239 nt
Filed under: Pseudomonas aeruginosa
Lineage: Bacteria; Pseudomonadati; Pseudomonadota; Gammaproteobacteria; Pseudomonadales; Pseudomonadaceae
Description: partial 16S ribosomal RNA
Rfam family: Bacterial small subunit ribosomal RNA
Source: RNAcentral